GACGAACGCUGGCGGCGUGCUUAACACAUGCAAGUCGAACGAUGAUGCCCAGCUUGCUGGGCGGAUUAGUGGCGAACGGGUGAGUAACACGUGAGUAACCUGCCCCUGACUCUGGGAUAAGCGUUGGAAACGACGUCUAAUACUGGAUAUGAUCGCCGACCGCAUGGUCUGGUGGUGGAAAGAUUUUUUGGUUGGGGAUGGACUCGCGGCCUAUCAGCUUGUUGGUGAGGUAAUGGCUCACCAAGGCGACGACGGGUAGCCGGCCUGAGAGGGUGACCGGCCACACUGGGACUGAGACACGGCCCAGACUCCUACGGGAGGCAGCAGUGGGGAAUAUUGCACAAUGGGCGAAAGCCUGAUGCAGCAACGCCGCGUGAGGGAUGACGGCCUUCGGGUUGUAAACCUCUUUUAGUAGGGAAGAAGCGAAAGUGACGGUACCUGCAGAAAAAGCACCGGCUAACUACGUG
Molecule: ribosomal RNA, 467 nt
Filed under: uncultured bacterium
Lineage: Bacteria
Description: partial 16S ribosomal RNA
Rfam family: Bacterial small subunit ribosomal RNA
Source: RNAcentral